This 497-nucleotide ribosomal RNA is filed under the name uncultured bacterium. RNAcentral's name for it is "partial 16S ribosomal RNA". It matches the Rfam family "Bacterial small subunit ribosomal RNA", at positions 28 to 507 of the family's 1533-position model. The record is from RNAcentral.
GAUGAACGCUGGCGGCGUGCCUAACACAUGCAAGUCGAGCGGACAGACGAGGCGCUUGCGGCUCGGACGUGAGGGGCGGACGGGAGUGUAACACGUGUAUAACGUACUUAUAAGACGGGGAAAACUAGGGGAAACCGGAGCUAAUACCGGAGAAGAUAUUGAAGCACAGGGGUGAAUAGUGAAAGACGGUGGUGCGGGCACGUAUAGAUGGAUCCGCGCCGCAUUAGCGAGUAGGUACGGUAACGGGUUACGAAGGGGAGGAGGCGUAGCCGACCUGUGAGGGUGAUCGCCCACCCUGGAACUUGGCCACCGUCCAGACUCCUACGGGACGCCCCAGUAGGGUAUCUUCCGCAAUGGUCGGAAGCCUGACACAGCGGCGCCGCGUGAGUGGUGACGAUCUUCGGUUCGUAAUACUCUGUUAUUAGUUAUAAACAAAUGUGUCAGUAAACAUGCCCGUCUUGACGGUACCGAAUCAGAAAGCACCGGCUAACUACGUG